AGCCACAAAAAGCCGCUGGUCUGAAGUGAUGUAAGCAGGAGCAGAGACAGCAUGCCAUGUGGGUUCUGCUAGAGGACAGUGCCAUCAAUUUUACGUCGCAGGCAGACUUUUUGGCACAUAGUGGUGGUUUGCGGUUGCUGCGAAAGAAUGGCUGAGCUUCCGUCGGAAAAGAAUAGCUACAAGAGUAUUCGAUGACUCUGCCUCCCGAACCUCACUUGGUUCUGCUAAUCGUGGAACAGCCCUCCACUGCCCCGAAAAUGUCAGAUUUCUUCACGGCAGACGAGCUCGGAGCUGUCAGCAGCUAAGGCAGAAGCGAUGCAUUUUUGGACCGUCACCGGAAUAGCUCGAACAUCGCCUCCUUGACUGCUGGAUAAAAACAGCGGAUAUGGUGACCGAGUCACCCGUCACACAGCCCUUAGACCCUAAACCCUAAACUGGCGCUCAUCAACGUCUUCCAACCUUCAGCGCUAACAGCCGGGGCACGCAAAGGGAUUCCUUUUAUUAGCUGGGGCUAGCAUGUCCAAUCAGGGCGCAGCCGUUUGUUCAAGCGGCUGGCCUGGCAUGACCCCGUGCGUUCUUGGAAAAAACCCAGUAUAGAGACUACGUAGCUUUUGCUGUGACAGGGACGUGAGCUGCUCCUCAUGUGCAUGUCUGCGGGAGAUGAACACAAAUUCCUGGGUUGUCACCCUCACGAUGCUUAUCCACGGACGGGCGGUCGGCGCGGGUGCCGAUGCGCCCUCCCCCAAAACGCCACCAGGUUUUCCAAGGGACAAACGCCCUGCAGGAUCAUUCAACAGCCAUCGAUCUAUAUUACAAACGAGGAAGCCGCGGCGGCCGGAUGUAUGGUUCGACGUAAUCGCACACCAUGCAGAUACUGAUACUGCAGGAGGUGAAGGCUAUGUGAUGAGGCGUCUCCGACUCGCGUCAGAGGUACUGUGGAUCCGUUCCGGCACGAGCAAUAACCUGUGUUGGAGCGGAAGAUUCGAUACCACUCGUUUACGAAAGCCGAGGUGCUGCGUGUGAUUGCUUCACACGUUUUGGUAUGCUGUGAAUGUCUGUGUAGACAGAGGAACGAAUGAGAUGUGCUUGACUUUGUGUCAAGCGGAAGUGAUUUUGCG
This 1118-nucleotide long non-coding RNA is filed under the name Toxoplasma gondii VEG. The record is from RNAcentral. Lineage: Eukaryota; Apicomplexa; Conoidasida; Eucoccidiorida; Sarcocystidae.